Molecule: ribosomal RNA, 595 nt
Filed under: Microdytes sp. BMNH 693506
Lineage: Eukaryota; Metazoa; Arthropoda; Insecta; Coleoptera; Dytiscidae
Also listed under: 1 other name
Description: SSU rRNA
Rfam family: Eukaryotic small subunit ribosomal RNA
Source: RNAcentral
CUCAAAGAUUAAGCCAUGCAUGUCUCAGUACAAGCCGCAUUAAGGUGAAACCGCGAAAGGCUCAUUAAAUCAGUUAUGGUUCCUUAGAUCGUACCCACAUUUACUUGGAUAACUGUGGUAAUUCUAGAGCUAAUACAUGCAAACAGAGCUCCGACCGGAGACGGGAGGAGUGCUUUUAUUAGAUCAAAACCAAUCGGCGGCGGGCGCGUCCGCGCGCCCGUUCGCCGCUCAACCUGGUGACUCUGAAUAACUUUGUGCUGAUCGCACGGUCUCGCACCGGCGACGCAUCUUUCAAAUGUCUGCCUUAUCAACUGUCGAUGGUAGGUUCUGCGCCUACCAUGGUCGUAACGGGUAACGGGGAAUCAGGGUUCGAUUCCGGAGAGGGAGCCUGAGAAACGGCUACCACAUCCAAGGAAGGCAGCAGGCGCGCAAAUUACCCACUCCCGGCACGGGGAGGUAGUGACGAAAAAUAACGAUACGGGACUCAUCCGAGGCCCGGUAAUCGGAAUGAGUACACUUUAAAUCCUUUAACGAUGAUCAAUUGGAGGGCAAGCCUGGUGCCAGCAGCCGCGGUAAUUCCAGUUCCAAUAGCGUA